This 86-nucleotide transfer RNA is filed under the name Burkholderiaceae bacterium. Its description in RNAcentral is "tRNA-Tyr". It matches the Rfam family "tRNA". Rfam says of the family: Transfer RNA (tRNA) molecules are approximately 80 nucleotides in length. Their secondary structure includes four short double-helical elements and three loops (D, anti-codon, and T loops). Further hydrogen bonds mediate the characteristic L-shaped molecular structure. tRNAs have two regions of fundamental functional importance: the anti-codon, which is responsible for specific mRNA codon recognition, and the 3' end, to which the tRNAs corresponding amino acid is attached (by aminoacyl-tRNA synthetases). tRNAs cope with the degeneracy of the genetic code in two manners: having more than one tRNA (with a specific anti-codon) for a particular amino acid; and 'wobble' base-pairing, i.e. permitting non-standard base-pairing at the 3rd anti-codon position. Lineage: Bacteria; Pseudomonadati; Pseudomonadota; Betaproteobacteria; Burkholderiales; Burkholderiaceae. The record is from RNAcentral.
GGAGGGGUGGCCGAGUGGUUAAUGGCAGCGGACUGUAAAUCCGCCCUCUUAUGAGUACGUUGGUUCGAAUCCAGCCCCCUCCACCA